RNAcentral lists this ribosomal RNA (468 nucleotides) under uncultured bacterium. RNAcentral describes it as "partial 16S ribosomal RNA". It matches the Rfam family "Bacterial small subunit ribosomal RNA", at positions 28 to 507 of the family's 1533-position model. The record is from RNAcentral.
GACGAACGCUGGCGGCGUGCUUAACACAUGCUAGUCGAACGGAAAGGCCCUGCUUUUGUGGGGUGCUCGAGUGGCGAACGGGUGAGUAACACGUGAGUAACCUGCCCUUGACUUUGGGAUAACUUCAGGAAACUGGGGCUAAUACCGGAUAGGAGCUCCUGCUGCAUGGUGGGGGUUGGAAAGUUUCGGCGGUUGGGGAUGGACUCGCGGCUUAUCAGCUUGUUGGUGGGGUAGUGGCUUACCAAGGCCUUGACGGGUAGCCGGCCUGAGAGGGUGACCGGCCACAUUGGGACUGAGAUACGGCCCAGACUCCUACGGGAGGCAGCAGUGGGGAAUAUUGCACAAUGGGCGGAAGCCUGAUGCAGCAACGCCGCGUGCGGGAUGACGGCCUUCGGGUUGUAAACCGCUUUCGCCUGAGACGAAGCGUGAGUGACGGUAAUGGGUAAAGAAGCACCGGCUAACUACGUG